This 2733-nucleotide long non-coding RNA is filed under the name Sus scrofa (pig). RNAcentral describes it as "lncRNA (ENSSSCG00025049101.1)". Lineage: Eukaryota; Metazoa; Chordata; Mammalia; Artiodactyla; Suidae. The record is from RNAcentral.
AUAGGCCCUCCACAUCUAAGCAAAGCUUCAGGAUGAGGUAGUGGUUGUGCUGAAUUGAGUCGGGGGGUUGACAUCCCACUUUUCUCACUGUACUGCACUGCUGGUUCCUGUGGAGCUCACUCCAACUAACAGCUUCAGGUCUUUUCCACAUGACCUACUGUCAAGUCACUUUCCCAUCAUGUGCUUACAUAGUCAGUUUUUGGAACUCAAAUAUGACAUUAUAUGUAUGCCCAGCUGUUAAGGUUUUAUUAUAGUUUCUACCCAUCUUCAAGCGAGUUCACAUUAUUGAUGGUCCUUGAUUUGGCCAUCUGACAAGUUAGCUACGCCUCCCAGCUUUGAGAUUGCAGAUUAGAUAAAUAAGCCUUCAAAGUGUCUGUUAAAAACAUUGAAGGAGACAGAGCCAAGGAAGGUCACUUUGGUAAAAAAUUCAUUUUACAUGGCAACCUGCUUCACACAUUCACCCCACAAUCUUCAUGUGAUAAUAAUGGGCUCUGAUAUUUUUAGAACUUAAGUUCAGUUCUCUUCUGUGUCUUUUUGUUUGUUCGUUUGUUUGUUUUUUAGGGCUACAGGUGUGGCAUAUGGAAAUUCCCAGGCUAGGGGUUGAAUCAGAGCCACAGAUGCUGUCCUACUCCAUAGCCACGUGGGAUCCUAGCUGCAUCUACAACCUACACCAUAGCUCAUGGCAACACCAGAUCCUUAACCCACUGAAUGAGGCCAGGGAUCAAACCCGCAUCUUCAAGGUUCCUAAUUGGCUCCACUGAGCCACAAAGGGAACUCCCUCUUCUGUGUCUUUUAAAAAAAAAAGCACUACCAUAUGACCCAGCAAUCUCACUCUUAGGCAUAUAUCUGGACAAAACUUUCAAUGAAAAAGAUACAUGCGUCUGUAUGUUCACUUCAGCACUGUUCAUAAUAGCCAAGACAUGGAAACAACCUAAAUGUCCAUCAACAGAUGAAUGGAUUAAGAAGAUGUGGUAUAUAUACACAAUGGAAUACUCCUCAGCCAUAAAAAAGAACAAAAUAAUACCAUUUGCAACAACAUGGAUGGAACUAGAGACUCUCAUACUAAGUAAGAAAGAGAAAGACAAAUACAUAUGAUAUCACAUAUCUGGAAUCUAAUAUAUGGCACAAAUGAACCUUCUCACAGAAAAGAAACUCAUGGACUUAGAGAACAGACUCAUGGUUGCCGAGGGGGAGGGGGAGGGAGUGGGAUGGACUGGGAAUCUGGGGUUGAUAGGUGCAAACUGUUGCAUUUGGAAUGGAUGAGCAAUGAGAUCCUGCUGUAUAGCACUGGGAACUAUAUCCAGUCACUUGUGAUGGAACAUGAUGGAGGAUAAUGUGAGAAAAAGAAUAUAUGUAUAUAUAUGCUUGUGUGUAUAUAUAUAUUUAUAUAUAUGUAUUACUGGGUCACUUUGCUGUACAGUAGAAACUGGCAGAACACUGUAAAUCAACUAUAAUGGAAAAAAUAAAAAAAACACUAGGUGUUCCCUCGUGACUCAGCAGGUUAAGGAUUAGGCAUUGUCACUGCUGUGGUACUGGUUAUAGCUGUGGUGCAGGUUCGAUCCCUGACCUAGGAACUUCCACAUGCCACAGGCAAGGCUGGAAAAACACACACACACACACACACAAAACAAACACUGAAUUGAUUGCAUAAUGCAGAGCUAGUUCUCCAUGACAGUCUGCCUGUGAAUCACUGGGACGGGGAGACUGCCCACUGCACCUCUGGAUGCACACAGUGUGGCUGGUCCAGCGCUGUGGACACCUGCCCUGUGCAGGUGUGCACACUUGGCUGACCAGCCCAUCUUCCCACUUGGCAUGGCAGCCGUGGGCCACCAUCUUCAUCCUUCUGAGUCUCUUUCCUUAUCUGGAACAGGUUGAGGUUUGAACAAGAUUGCGUAGGCACUUUGGCAAGCCCUGAAUGAAUGACAGCCAAUGACGGUUUGAGCUCCCCACGUGCUUUCCCCACUCACCCUUCACCAGCCUCCAGAGGGUCUGGCCUGGAGGCUGUCCAUCCUAGUGGGAAGAUGGAAGCAAGGCGGUGCCAGUCAGAGUGUGCUGAGCAGAGCUUUUGUGUGUUGGGGCCAAGGAGAAGCAGAGUUAAAAUUAAGUCUUCCAGCUGUGUGCAGAAGGAAGAUGACAGCAUGGAUGAUGGUACCACAUACCUUAUAAGGCUCUUGGAAGUAUCAGAUGUGUUGCUACAUGUGAAAUACUUGAACAGCCUGGCACAGAGUAAGCACCACAGAGUUGUUCAUUGUUAUGUGUAUAAAUUUUAUUUUAACAUAAUUUCAUAUCUAUCCUUUAUACAGUCACCAGUUAUUCAUAUUUUGCUUAUUUUAUAAUUCUCUCUUCAGAUGUGUGUGUAUAAUAUACUCUAUUUUCUAUUUUGUAUGUAUAGUAUACAUAGUAUGUANAUCACUUAAGAGGAAAUUGAGGGAGUUUCUGUCAUGGCGCAACAGAAACUAAUCCAACUGGGAACCAUGAGGUUGCGGGUUCGAUCCCUGGCCUCGCUCAGUGGGUUGAGGACCCGGCGUUGCCGUGAGCUGUGGUGUAGGUGGCAGAUGUGGCCCGGAUCCCGAAUUGCUGUGGUGUAGUUGGCAGAUGUGGCCCGGAUCCCGAAUUGCUGUGUGUGGCGUAGGCCGGCAGCUUCAGCUCCAAUUUGACCCCUAGCCUGGGAACCUCCAUAUGCUGUAGGUAGGGCCCUAAAAAAGACAAAAGACAAAAAAAAAAAAAAAAAAA